This 478-nucleotide ribosomal RNA is filed under the name uncultured bacterium. RNAcentral's name for it is "partial 16S ribosomal RNA". It matches the Rfam family "Bacterial small subunit ribosomal RNA", at positions 28 to 507 of the family's 1533-position model. The record is from RNAcentral.
GAUGAACGCUAGCGGCAUGCCUAACACAUGCAAGUCGAGGGGUAUUUCUCUUCGCUUAGUGAGACCGGCUCACGGGUGCGUAACUCGUUUGCAAGUUACCUUCUACACUGUGAUAGUGGAGAGAAUUUUGGAUUAAUACCUCAUAGCCUAUAGAUUCGUCGUCGAGAUUAUAUUAAAGUCACAACGGGAAACUGUGAGCAUGCAUCCCAUUAGCUGGUUGGUAAGGUAACGGCUUACCAAGGCUACGAUGGGUAGGGGUCCUGAGAGGGAGAUCCCCCACACUGGAACCGAGACCCAGACCAGAACGCUACGGGAGGGAGCAGUGAGUACUAGUAGAGGAGAGGCGCAAGCGUGAUACAGCCAUGCCGCGUGCAGGAUGACGGGCCUAGGGAUUGUCUGCUGCUUGUAAACGAGAAGAAACACUGUUACGUGUAGCAGCUUGACGGUACCGUAAGAAUAAGGAACGGCUAACUACGUG